RNAcentral lists this ribosomal RNA (765 nucleotides) under uncultured Streptococcus sp. RNAcentral's name for it is "bacterial SSU rRNA". It matches the Rfam family "Bacterial small subunit ribosomal RNA", at positions 28 to 776 of the family's 1533-position model. Lineage: Bacteria; Bacillati; Bacillota; Bacilli; Lactobacillales; Streptococcaceae. The record is from RNAcentral.
GACGAACGCUGGCGGCGUGCCUAAUACAUGCAAGUAGAACGCUGAAGCUUGGUGCUUGCACCGAGCGGAUGAGUUGCGAACGGGUGAGUAACGCGUAGGUAACCUGCCUGGUAGCGGGGGAUAACUAUUGGAAACGAUAGCUAAUACCGCAUAAUAGUAGAUGUUGCAUGACAUUUGCUUAAAAGGUGCAAUUGCAUCACUACCAGAUGGACCUGCGUUGUAUUAGCUAGUUGGUGAGGUAACGGCUCACCAAGGCAACGAUACAUAGCCGACCUGAGAGGGUGAUCGGCCACACUGGGACUGAGACACGGCCCAGACUCCUACGGGAGGCAGCAGUGGGGAAUCUUCGGCAAUGGACGGAAGUCUGACCGAGCAACGCCGCGUGAGUGAAGAAGGUUUUCGGAUCGUAAAGCUCUGUUGUAAGAGAAGAACGAGUGUGAGAGUGGAAAGUUCACACUGUGACGGUAUCUUACCAGAAAGGGACGGCUAACUACGUGCCAGCAGCCGCGGUAAUACGUAGGUCCCGAGCGUUGUCCGGAUUUAUUGGGCGUAAAGCGAGCGCAGGCGGUUAGAUAAGUCUGAAGUUAAAGGCUGUGGCUUAACCAUAGUACGCUUUGGAAACUGUUUAACUUGAGUGCAAGAGGGGAGAGUGGAAUUCCAUGUGUAGCGGUGAAAUGCGUAGAUAUAUGAAGGAACACCGGUGGCGAAAGCGGCUCUCUGGCUUGUAACUGACGCUGAGGCUCGAAAGCGUGGGGAGCAAACAGG